RNAcentral lists this ribosomal RNA (549 nucleotides) under uncultured bacterium. Its description in RNAcentral is "bacterial SSU rRNA". It matches the Rfam family "Bacterial small subunit ribosomal RNA", at positions 355 to 895 of the family's 1533-position model. The record is from RNAcentral.
UAGGGAAUCUUCCGCAAUGGACGCAAGUCUGACGGAGCAACGCCGCGUGAGUGAAGAAGGUUUUCGGAUCGUAAAACUCUGUUGUUAGAGAAGAACAAGUGCUAGAGUAACUGUUAGCGCCUUGACGGUAUCUAACCAGAAAGCCACGGCUAACUACGUGCCAGCAGCCGCGGUAAUACGUAGGUGGCAAGCGUUGUCCGGAUUUAUUGGGCGUAAAGCGAGCGCAGGCGGUUCCUUAAGUCUGAUGUGAAAGCCCCCGGCUCAACCGGGGAGGGUCAUUGGAAACUGGGGAACUUGAGUGCAGAAGAGGAGAGUGGAAUUCUAUGUGUAGCGGUGAAAUGCGUAGAUAUAUGGAGGAACACCAGUGGCGAAGGCGACUCUCUGGCCUGUAACUGACGCUGAGGCUCGAAAGCGUGGGUAGCAAACAGGAUUAGAUACCCUGGUAGUCCACGCCGUAAACGAUGAGUGCUAAGUGUUGGAGGGUUUCCGCCCUUCAGUGCUGCAGUUAACGCAUUAAGCACUCCGCCUGGGGAGUACGACCGCAAGGUU